Molecule: transfer RNA, 73 nt
Filed under: Propionibacteriaceae bacterium
Lineage: Bacteria; Bacillati; Actinomycetota; Actinomycetes; Propionibacteriales; Propionibacteriaceae
Description: tRNA-Arg
Rfam family: tRNA
About the family: Transfer RNA (tRNA) molecules are approximately 80 nucleotides in length. Their secondary structure includes four short double-helical elements and three loops (D, anti-codon, and T loops). Further hydrogen bonds mediate the characteristic L-shaped molecular structure. tRNAs have two regions of fundamental functional importance: the anti-codon, which is responsible for specific mRNA codon recognition, and the 3' end, to which the tRNAs corresponding amino acid is attached (by aminoacyl-tRNA synthetases). tRNAs cope with the degeneracy of the genetic code in two manners: having more than one tRNA (with a specific anti-codon) for a particular amino acid; and 'wobble' base-pairing, i.e. permitting non-standard base-pairing at the 3rd anti-codon position.
Source: RNAcentral
GCGCCCGUAGCUUAAUGGAUAGAGCAUCUGACUACGGAUCAGAAGGUUGGGGUUUCGAGUACCUCCGGGCGCG